GACGAACGCUGGCGGCGUGCCUAAUACAUGCAAGUCGAGCGAAUCAGUGGGAGCUUGCUCCCUGAGAUUAGCGGCGGACGGGUGAGUAACACGUGGGUAACCUGCCUGUAAGACUGGGAUAACUUCGGGAAACCGGAGCUAAUACCGGAUACGUUCUUUUCUCGCAUGAGGAGAGAUGGAAAGAUGGUUCUGCUAUCACUUACAGAUGGACCCGCGGCGCAUUAGCUAGUUGGUGAGGUAACGGCUCACCAAGGCGACGAUGCGUAGCCGACCUGAGAGGGUGAUCGGCCACACUGGGACUGAGACACGGCCCAGACUCCUACGGGAGGCAGCAGUAGGGAAUCUUCCGCAAUGGACGAAAGUCUGACGGAGCAACGCCGCGUGAGCGAAGAAGGCCUUCGGGUCGUAAAGCUCUGUUGUCAGGGAAGAACAAGUACGAGAGUAACUGCUCGUACCUUGACGGUACCUAACCAGAAAGCCACGGCUAACUACGUGCCAGCCGCCGCCGUAA
Molecule: ribosomal RNA, 511 nt
Filed under: uncultured bacterium
Lineage: Bacteria
Description: partial 16S ribosomal RNA
Rfam family: Bacterial small subunit ribosomal RNA
Source: RNAcentral